RNAcentral lists this ribosomal RNA (230 nucleotides) under uncultured bacterium. RNAcentral describes it as "partial 16S ribosomal RNA". It matches the Rfam family "Bacterial small subunit ribosomal RNA", at positions 568 to 796 of the family's 1533-position model. The record is from RNAcentral.
CGCGCAGGCGGUUUGGUAAGUCAGAUGUGAAAUUCACCGGCUCAACCGGUUGAACUGCAUCCGAUACUGCCAGACUUGAGAUCAGUAGAGGAGAGUGGAAUUCCCAGUGUAGCGGUGGAAUGCGUAGAUAUUGGGAAGAACACCGGUGGCGAAGGCGGCUCUCUGGACUGAUUCUGACGCUGAGGCGCGAAAGCUAGGGGAGCGAACAGGAUUAGAUACCCUGGUAGUCC